Non-coding RNA from Drosophila virilis, 1032 nucleotides. NCBI's taxonomy places the organism in Eukaryota, Metazoa, Arthropoda, Insecta, Diptera, Drosophilidae. The record is from RefSeq and is a predicted model, not a curated record.
UUUUGGUAACGACUAUCGAUUACUUGAUCGAUUUUCAAUGCAUAUGCUUAAACGAUAUACUUAGAAUUAGUCUGCAAUCCAAACAAAACUAAUAUUUUCAAUAAAGAUAUUGUUAUAAACAUCUUUUUAAAUAAGUAUUUGUUGUCGUCAGAGGAUAAUAAAAUCAAUUAAUCUGUUUUAUUUAGAUGCCUAAUGUCCAACUAUGAGAGUCCUAUGAUCCCUUGAGUUCAUGUCACGCCAAAUGAACACGACCCACGCACGGCUCUAUUUGGAGACUCAAUCUUCAGUUCCCACUUGACUGCCGCACUCUUAAUAUUUCGAUUUAUUUGACUUGCAGAGAGUGAAGCGAAGCGAAUGCCUCAGCUUAGCCAGUGCUUAUAAUGUGUCUCAAAAGGACGCAAUGCAGUCAUUUUGUUCCUCCUUCUGCCUCGGCGCAGCCUUGGGCAAUUUUAAAGUCUGAUGUGUGUGUGUGUGUGCGUGUGUGUGUCUGUUGUCAGAGCAUUCAGCUAAAUCUGUCAAACAGCAAAUACAAACACAAAAUACAAAUACAAAUACAAGAGUACGAAGUACAAAUCCAAAGUACAAGUAAAUAAUAAAAUCAACUUGAAAUUCCGUUCGGGUUGUGUUCUCGUAAUGUGCCUGAAAUUGAUUUUCUUUUUGCCAGACAACCAGGCAUCAGGCGCAGAGGAAAUGUGCACGACGGAAGCGGCAGGGGGUCAUGCGACAGCUCCUCUGAGCACACACACACACACACGUCGCUGGAGUGCAUAUCCUGAGGACCCAAACUGAAGACAUAAUCGAAUUCUAGAAUCUCCUGCCUUGAAGUAUGAGAAGGAUGUAAAGAGAUCAAAAAAAAAAUGUCCUACGUCUGAACAGAAUUCCACUUUCUUCUUUGCAGGAACAGAAUUUCCUUCAGCUUAACCUUAUUUCUUCUACUCCAAAAAGCUAAUUUAUUUAUGCAAUGAUUCAAGGUAUUCAUGGGUAUUCACUUAAGUGAAUAUUAUUGCGAGCAAAAUAAAAGAAAUAAUGAAA